RNAcentral lists this transfer RNA (70 nucleotides) under Dipodomys ordii (Ord's kangaroo rat). It matches the Rfam family "tRNA". From Rfam's summary of the family: Transfer RNA (tRNA) molecules are approximately 80 nucleotides in length. The record is from Rfam by way of RNAcentral. Lineage: Eukaryota; Metazoa; Chordata; Mammalia; Rodentia; Heteromyidae.
GGAAACGUGGCUCAGUGGUAGAGCACUUGCCUUGCAUGCAUGAGGCCCUGGGUUCAAUUCCUCAGCACCA